RNAcentral lists this long non-coding RNA (4560 nucleotides) under Triticum aestivum (bread wheat). RNAcentral describes it as "long non-coding RNA (TAES_LNC017781)". The record is from RNAcentral. Lineage: Eukaryota; Viridiplantae; Streptophyta; Magnoliopsida; Poales; Poaceae.
CUUGCUUCAUUUAAUUAGGUUUGGAUAGUGGGAGAAAAAUUGGGUGAAGGCAUUGGUAGUACAAGGAAAGAAGUACAACAUCAGGCUGCAGAAAUAUCUUUAAGAAAUUUGGCAAGUAAGUUUGUUUUAUUGCAUAUUUGUACUAACCUCUCCAGUUUCGUUUUUGCAGAUAUAAGAUAAUAUGUUAUGUAAUCAAGAGAUUCGUUUUAAAUUUGGAUUGUUCACAUGUUUACUCGAAGCAUAUAUGCUCUACUGUGUGGAGUUGAUUUUUCCCUUUUUAGCACCAUCUAUCUUGGAAUUGGAUUGGAUACUCUGAGAAUAUAAUGAUGACUAUUUCUUGAUGGGUACUUGCUGCAUGAUUUUUCCACUGCAUGUCAAAGCUUACAUGUGAAAGGAUCUUGCUUGAUUCCAUUCUACUGGUUCAUUGGAUGAAUAAACUCACACCUUUCAUGACCAAACUGUCAGCUGAUGUUUCUAAUAAUUCUUAUUUUGUCUUGCAGGAGAUUAUGGAGUGUAAUUCUUCAGAUGUACAAAUGUCACAUUGUGCUGAGGGUUCCGAGACUACAAUAGAGACCAAAAUCAAGACUUUGGAUUCUCAAACAUACAAUUUGCAUGUGAAUAAAUGUGUAAGUUGACAAUCCAUGCCGUAUCACAGCGAACCAUGGUGUUUGCAUUGUUUGUGUGGUUUUGUGCUGUACUAUGUAAAAACUCGGUUGUUUGCAUGCAGUAUUUAUUCAAAAUUAGUCAGAUUCCUGCGAUGUUCUCCUAUUUGUUCUCAUUGAAAUUACUGUUGCAUUUUUGACAAGAAAUUUACAGAUAACUGUAUGGCAAUUUUCUUCUAAUUCCCGUAAGUAAUUUUGAGAACACACCAGUACAUCCAUAUUUCAUAAGCAAUGUGUUAGUUGGAUGCCACCUCGGUGGGAUCGGCCGCCUGCGUCGUGUAGUGAGGAGGGGAAGGUGGAGAGAUGGCAGAUGUAGGGGCGGACUGGUGUAGGGGUGGCUGCGGGAGAAGAUGGGACCUCUCCUCUCCCCCGAGUCUAUUGCGGCCGCCUCUCCUCCCAUGUCACUAGGGCCUCGCCCUCACUAGGCAUCGGCAACCUCCCAGCCCUCCUUCCCCGUGCAUGGCUUCCCCAGGAAACUUUGCCUAGGCUUGCGUAUUGUUGCUUUUCGUCAAUGCAUCAAGACACAAUGCCUUUGUGUUUUCUGUUUGAAAAUGAUUAUCUCUUGUACUCUGCAGUCUUCCUUUGGAUUUUUUUGACUACUAUGAUCAGAUUUCAUAUGUCAGCAGCUCUUGCAAUAAUCACCCUUCAUGGUCAUCACAUGAAAGUUCUAAUGUUUAACUGAUUUCAGCAACUCAGAUUUUAGAGUCCUGAAUCAACUUCUAAUGCCGUUCACUUUGAAAUCCACCCAGAUAAGGUCAAGCAAUCAAGGUGAAGUUGGGGUAUGCAAGUACACCGUGGGAGGAUACAUCUGUGAGAUGUAUUUAUAAAACCUUCUCGUGUCUUGUCUUCAUUUUCUAAUUUAACCCUUCUAUGGUUAACCAUAAUUAACCAUUGAAUUAUUCCAUGGCAUUUCCAUAUUUUUGUUGCAAUUUAUGUUCUGAAGCGAAUGCUGCCACUCUUUAUUGCUGUUUCUCGACAUAUGAUUCUUGUAUGUAAGUUUUUAGUUCAAUGUAACAUGUUAACGGAUGCCUUAAGUUUGCUCGUAUAGCAUAUGCUUUCAUAUUUUGAUUUGAUAUUCAGUAGAUCAAAUUUGUUGUAUCUAUAUCAGGUAUAUCUUCUUGUUAUGCUAAUCUAGCAUGGCACAUUUCGUAAAUGAUUUCCCAUUUGUUUCUACUACUUCUGUUUUGAUGUAGCUUUUCAGUUGUUCAUGUGCGCCAUUUAUGAUCAGGGAUGCUCGAGUCAUGUGGGAUAAUAAAACCGGACACUCCAGAGGUUAUGGCUUUGUCUUAUUCUGCAGUCAGCAGGCAUGCACAACUCAGAUCAUUUCCCUUUUGCAUUUUGCAGUAGCUUUACCAUUUUGAUGGCAUGAGUCAAAUACCCUCGAUGUAAUAUUUUGGUGUCUGAGUGAUACCGAUGGCUUUUGCAAUGCCUAAAUUUUAACUCGGUGAAUUAUAUUUUUCUUGUGUUACCAAUCAAGGAUCCUCUCUUCUCUCGGAAUAUCGAUGUUUCUUUCUGACAUUUCUCAAAAGCGUAUCACAGCCACCUUACAUUUUCCGUGUCAUAUGGAAGGUCUUCUUUGUUAAUUGAGUGAAUAUUUUUCUUGUAGUUUUACCUUUGGUUACUUCUAUGUCUCAUUCUGUUGAUUUACGGUACAAUAAUUAUAUGUAUUAGCGUUAGGUCCUUGCAAAGAAAAGGUCAUCUUUGUGUAAGUGAUUCUACUCAAUAUGUAAUAAUGUUUUUACUACAUGAGAUGGAACUGGGCUUCCGGUUAAUAAGGAAUAUUCUAACAACUGUCUAAUGCAUGCUGAUUUUUAGUAUUAUAUGUUUCCUAUUGGCAGGUUCUUUCUGUUGAGCCACUAACAUAAGCAAAUUAGGUGUGAUUGUUAACAACAACAUUUUAUUUAUCUGUAAAUUGCAGGCACUGGACAGGUUUAAUACAGCAGUUGUGUCACCAAUAUAUUACGUGAUGUUUACUUUGUUAUGCUUGUUCUUGAUAAGAAAAUCAAGCAUUUGGCAUCUAUUGCAAUCUGGAGAUGAUCCAUAUGUGGCCUAAUUUUCUACUACUGAAUCACAAUGCUAUGUUGUGAUUACUGGCAGCAAGAGUCAGCAUGACCGCUCAUUCUGUAUGCUUUAAACUAUUUUAUUGGAGUUUACUAAUUCCAUGUACUGGAAGCAACAGCCUACAAGUUUGAUAUGUGAAAGGUUUAUUAUCUUAUAUCUUGCUUGUGUAGUGUAGGGUGGUUCGGAGGGCACCCGAAGAGAGAUCGUAUCAUAUUUCCUAUCAGUUGUUCUCUGGAUCUUCUCCCCUUCACAUAAGUAACCACACAUUCAUAUGAAGGAAUUCAUAUCUCUUACAUAUCAUUGCAUCUCACACAUAUAUAAUUACUUGAGCCAGGGUUCUUGCUUGAGAAUUGAUGGUGUUGAUGAUGCCAAAGGAUUUUCAUCAUUAUUGGUAAUGUUGCUACAAAUCAACCACAACUUUGAAUAGUAUUGAUAUAUACAGUUCGGCCUCUUCUCUGUAGACUUUAAAGGAUGGAGAAAAAAGAAUGCUCUAUGAUCAGGUAACAAUUUAAGCCCUCUGAUUACACAUGUCUAUGUUUCUUUGACUGCCAAAGGCUAUUUAUUUUUGUAUGUUCAGGAGUUACAAAGAAUUUAUUGCUUGAAACUUAAGAUAAUUAGACAACAAUACAUUUUGACUAAUUGUCUGAUUUUUGUUUGCCUAUACUGUUUGCAAGAGUCAUCAACUUGUCUAUUCUUUUAUUGAAUUCUGCGUAUAACAAAUUAUUAGGAAGACUUCUCAAAACGUGUAAAUGAAUCGAGAUCAGCCAUCUAUCUCCAACACCAUGCACCAAUGCUUGCAACUCACGCAAAUGUACUUUAUCGUGCGCACAUGUAUGACCUUACCGCUGUCGUUGUUAUUCUAUUUUUUCUAAAAAAAACUGAUGUCAUUAGGCUCUAAAUUUGUAGUAACUAAACAUCAAAUACAUACUGUAUCUCAGUUUGCCAAUAUUUUGGUGGUCUCUGCAAUGUUGUUUGCAGGAUUGCCGAUUUUACUUUACAAAGAGUAGCAUUUAAAAAGCGAAUGACAUUUGAUAAAUUGCUGAAAGGUGGUGGUUGCACACUAUGGGGGACAGUGUCCAAGAGAGGGCUCGGAGAUGGUUAGAGGUUAGCUACUGUUCACUAUCUAUCAAUCCUAUCUUCAUGUACCUGUGUGUGUUUGGUACAGUACUUGAUCUCUUAUGAUUUAGGGAGCUCUUCAGAUCUAAGAAGAAAUUGAUGUAAGAUUUAUUUUCAUAUUCUUGGAAACUCAUGCUAUGGAGAAUCAUAAUGAUAUUCUCAUUGUACAGGCGGUGCAAGGUCUAACAUGAUUGUGCUGAUGCUCUCUCCUUUGUAGAGGACCAUCCCGAUGUCUGGGUUUCGGCAUGGUGGUGAGGUGCCUGAGGUCACGGCUCUGAGUCAGGAACCUCUUAUUGAGCGUGCCAGUACUUCAUGGUGGUGACGUAUGUCUCGAUGAUAGUCCAGUUUGAUAAAAUGCCAAUAGGAGCAGGUCUGUGAAGCCAAUAUGAGCCGGUCAGUAAACUAGUGAUGCAGUCUCACUGUUCAUCGUCUCUAGACGCACCUAUAUGAUCCAUGUAUCUAGUUUCUCUCCAAAACUUGUGAUGCCUGCGUUGUGAUGAUCCGAGGAACUCUGCCUCUAUUUUGGAGAUCGCCCAUCUUUUGGAGACCGCUGAACUUUGAUUUGAACCGAUGAAUGUGUCUUUGUGAUCAGUCAUCCACUUUGUAAGAUUGUCAAAUCUCUGUUAAGCUAUCAGCAUAGAUGAAACUACUUGCUUGCUCUGCUUUAUGAAUGAACACUCUUCUACUGCAGUUCUAUUCUCUGUAUUAUAUUUUUAACCAU